CCUACGGGAGGCAGCAGUAGGGAAUUUUCGUCAAUGGGCGCAAGCCUGAACGAGCAAUGCCGCGUGAACGAGGAAGGUCUUCGGAUCGUAAAGUUCUGUUGAUGGGGAAAAAGAGCGGAGCGAGGAUAUGCUUUCUGAUUGAUAUUACCCUUCGAGGAAGUCACGGCUAACUCCGUGACCGCCGCCGCGGUAAUACGUAGGUGGCGUGCUUUGUCCGGAUUGAUGGGGCGAAAGGGGUGCGUAGGCGGCCUGCUAGGGCUGGAGUGACAGGUGCCGGCACAACCGGGACAGGCGGUGGAAACUGGCGGGCUAGAGAGCAGGGGAGGGCGGUGGAACUCCAUGUGUAGCGGUAAAAUGCGUAGAUAUAUGGAAGAACACCAGUGGCGAAGGCGGCCGCCUGGCCUGUUACUGACGCUGAGGCACGAAAGCGUGGGGAGCAAACAGGAUUAGAUACCCGGGUAGUC
This 464-nucleotide ribosomal RNA is filed under the name uncultured bacterium. RNAcentral describes it as "partial 16S ribosomal RNA". It matches the Rfam family "Bacterial small subunit ribosomal RNA", at positions 338 to 795 of the family's 1533-position model. The record is from RNAcentral.